This 1107-nucleotide long non-coding RNA is filed under the name Anser cygnoides (Swan goose). RNAcentral describes it as "lncRNA (ENSACDG00005015449.1)". Lineage: Eukaryota; Metazoa; Chordata; Aves; Anseriformes; Anatidae. The record is from RNAcentral.
AAUUUUUGUGAAAUAAUAUCAUAUCUGCACCUUCAUGAACAGCACAGCUGGAGGAGAAUGUGAAUGAGACAACACCAACUCUGUCAGUGAAGCACCCUUUGAAAGAGGUGCUGCCUGUUCCAGUUGUGCAUUCAUAUAGCAAUUAAGAAAUCUAGAAGUUUACCUAAGUUUGCUUAGGAGAAAGAACUGAAGAAAGCAGUCCUAAAAUACAACUUUUCUAACAUCUGAAAAACAAGUAAUGCAACUUCGUGUUUAAAUAGUGCUUUUAAAAAUAAUAAUAAUAAUAAUAAUAAAAUAGAUUAGAUUGCAAGCUGUUUAGCUGAAGUGUGUAGGCAAGCCCUUGCAAACAAAGGAUGCUUUCUCUAAACCACAAAUCUAUUUGCACCAUGAAGACAGAGGCACUGUACUUACCCUUGCACAGCUAAGGAGCAGUCAGCUUGGAAAAGCUGCUUGUGGCCCAGGGGAACGUAACCUACCUGCUCUAGGGAAGGAAGGUAGCAGCAGCCAGCUGUCCACAGAAGGGAGCAAGGCUCUCCUUCAAGGAGCAGGAGGGCUCACAGCUGCUCUCCUGAGAGCAAGGAUCUGCAAGGCAGCCUGGCUUCAACCAGCUGGAGAAAAUCAACUGCUUUCCUCCAAGAGGCUAUAAAAGGGUGAGGCUGAGGAGGUGCAUGUGCUAUAGGAGCAGGCAGGACGGCCUGGGGGAAGAGGUGGGGUGUUUGCAUGGUGAUGUGGUGAGCCUCAGCGUAAGCAGUAUGCAGAGGAUGUGGGGCUAUAGCCGCCUGGCAGGCACCAAAGGAGGGCUGCUGUCUGCCUGCAUGGGGAGUACGAUGUCAAGCAGAGGCUCCUAGGAGGCCAUCAGUAAUCAGAAUGGUAAUUACCUCAUUUUUAUCAUCAUAAAGUCCAAACUUUUUCCCCCAGGUUUCUUCAUCACUUUUAAAAAACAAUGAUUUUACUAUUGAAUGGAGGACCUCCUGUACACAACAACUGAAAUCAAGCCACAGAAGUCUUUUGCACAAUGUAGCCCAAUAAUUAAAUAGUAAAUCAUCCCGUUUUCAGCUGGAUUCAGUAGACUGUGCUGAUGUUGCUAUACCUCUUUCUGGGCUUUGA